RNAcentral lists this transfer RNA (71 nucleotides) under Haloarcula argentinensis. RNAcentral describes it as "tRNA-Trp". It matches the Rfam family "tRNA". Rfam says of the family: Transfer RNA (tRNA) molecules are approximately 80 nucleotides in length. Their secondary structure includes four short double-helical elements and three loops (D, anti-codon, and T loops). Lineage: Archaea; Methanobacteriati; Methanobacteriota; Halobacteria; Halobacteriales; Haloarculaceae. The record is from RNAcentral. RNAcentral also lists the same sequence under 2 other names.
GGAUUCGUGGUCCAACGGAACGACGCCCGCCUCCAGAACGGGAGAUGGCUGUUCGAUUCGGUCCGAAUCCA